Molecule: ribosomal RNA, 586 nt
Filed under: Dickeya chrysanthemi
Lineage: Bacteria; Pseudomonadati; Pseudomonadota; Gammaproteobacteria; Enterobacterales; Pectobacteriaceae
Description: bacterial SSU rRNA
Rfam family: Bacterial small subunit ribosomal RNA
Source: RNAcentral
CUUCCGGAGCUAACGCGUUAAAUCGACCGCCUGGGGAGUACGGCCGCAAGGUUAAAACUCAAAUGAAUUGACGGGGGGCCCGCACAAGCGGUGGAGCAUGUGGUUAAUUCGAUGCAACGCGAAGAACCUUACCUGGUCUUGACAUCCACAGAACUUUCCAGAGAUGGAUUGGUGCCUUCGGGAACUGUGAGACAGGUGCUGCAUGGCUGUCGUCAGCUCGUGUUGUGAAAUGUUGGGUUAAGUCCCGCAACGAGCGCAACCCUUAUCCUUUGUUGCCAGCGGUUAGGCCGGGAACUCAAAGGAGACUGCCAGUGAUAAACUGGAGGAAGGUGGGGAUGACGUCAAGUCAUCAUGGCCCUUACGACCAGGGCUACACACGUGCUACAAUGGCGCAUACAAAGAGAAGCGACCUCGCGAGAGCAAGCGGACCUCAUAAAGUGCGUCGUAGUCCGGAUUGGAGUCUGCAACUCGACUCCAUGAAGUCGGAAUCGCUAGUAAUCGUAGAUCAGAAUGCUACGGUGAAUACGUUCCCGGGCCUUGUACACACCGCCCGUCACACCAUGGGAGUGGGUUGCAAAAGAAGUAG